This 72-nucleotide non-coding RNA is filed under the name human gut metagenome. RNAcentral's name for it is "Cyclic di-GMP-I riboswitch". It matches the Rfam family "c-di-GMP-I riboswitch aptamer". Rfam says of the family: GEMM was predicted in a large-scale screen for bacterial structured RNA regulatory elements. Genes associated with GEMM are involved in a diverse array of functions, including chemotaxis regulation, signal transduction, secretion and chitin. The record is from RNAcentral.
GAAAAGGCAAACCCGUUGCGAAACGGGGACGCAAAACUAGAGGGUCUUGCAGGGCAAGACAGCCAGUUGCCA